Molecule: ribosomal RNA, 468 nt
Filed under: uncultured bacterium
Lineage: Bacteria
Description: partial 16S ribosomal RNA
Rfam family: Bacterial small subunit ribosomal RNA
Source: RNAcentral
GACGAACGCUGGCGGCGUGCUUAACACAUGCAAGUCGAACGGAAAGGCCCUGCUUUUGUGGGGUGCUCGAGUGGCGAACGGGUGAGUAACACGUGAGUAACCUGCCCUUGACUUUGGGAUAACUUCAGGAAACUGGGGCUAAUACCGGAUAGGAGCUCCUGCUGCAUGGUGGGGGUUGGAAAGUUUCGGCGGUUGGGGAUGGACUCGCGGCUUAUCAGCUUGUUGGUGGGGUAAUGGCUUACCAAGGCUUUGACGGGUAGCCGGCCUGAGAGGGUGACCGGCCACAUUGGGACUGAGAUACGGCCCAGACUGCUACGGGAGGCAGCAGUGGGGAAUAUUGCACAAUGGGCGGAAGCCUGAUGCAGCAACGCCGCGUGCGGGAUGACGGCCUUCGGGUUGUAAACCGCUUUCGCCUGUGACGAAGCGUGAGUGACGGUAAUGGGUAAAGAAGCACCGGCUAACUACGUG